AAGGAUGUAGCUCAGUGGUAGAGCACAUGUUUAGCAUGUGUGAGGCCCUGGGUUUGAUCUCCAGCACCAUGA
This 72-nucleotide transfer RNA is filed under the name Heterocephalus glaber (naked mole-rat). It matches the Rfam family "tRNA". Rfam says of the family: Transfer RNA (tRNA) molecules are approximately 80 nucleotides in length. Their secondary structure includes four short double-helical elements and three loops (D, anti-codon, and T loops). Further hydrogen bonds mediate the characteristic L-shaped molecular structure. tRNAs have two regions of fundamental functional importance: the anti-codon, which is responsible for specific mRNA codon recognition, and the 3' end, to which the tRNAs corresponding amino acid is attached (by aminoacyl-tRNA synthetases). tRNAs cope with the degeneracy of the genetic code in two manners: having more than one tRNA (with a specific anti-codon) for a particular amino acid; and 'wobble' base-pairing, i.e. permitting non-standard base-pairing at the 3rd anti-codon position. Lineage: Eukaryota; Metazoa; Chordata; Mammalia; Rodentia; Bathyergidae. The record is from Rfam by way of RNAcentral.